Molecule: ribosomal RNA, 254 nt
Filed under: uncultured bacterium
Lineage: Bacteria
Description: partial 16S ribosomal RNA
Rfam family: Bacterial small subunit ribosomal RNA
Source: RNAcentral
UACGUAGGGGGCGAGCGUUGUCCGGAAUUAUUGGGCGUAAAGAGCUCGUAGGCGGCUUAGUAAGUCGGCGGUGAAAUACCGAGGCUCAACCUCGGCACUGCCGUCGAUACUGCUAUGGCUAGAGUUUGGUAGAGGAGAACGGAAUUCCCGGUGUAGCGGUGGAAUGCGCAGAUAUCAGGAGGAACACCAGCGGCGAAGGCGGCGCUCUGGGCCGGUACUGACACUGAGGAGCGAAAGCGUGGGUAGCAAACAGG